RNAcentral lists this transfer RNA (74 nucleotides) under Weissella soli. RNAcentral describes it as "tRNA-Met". It matches the Rfam family "tRNA". Rfam says of the family: Transfer RNA (tRNA) molecules are approximately 80 nucleotides in length. Lineage: Bacteria; Bacillati; Bacillota; Bacilli; Lactobacillales; Lactobacillaceae. The record is from RNAcentral.
CGCGGGAUGGAGCAGUUUGGUAGCUCGUCGGGCCCAUAACCCGAAGGUCGUAGGUUCAAAUCCUACUCCCGCAA